GGCUUGAUAGCUCAACUGUUAGAGCACUGCACCAGCAUUGCAGAGGUGAGGAUUCAAGCCCCAUUCAGGCUU
RNAcentral lists this transfer RNA (72 nucleotides) under Acropora cervicornis. RNAcentral describes it as "tRNA-Ala". It matches the Rfam family "tRNA". From Rfam's summary of the family: Transfer RNA (tRNA) molecules are approximately 80 nucleotides in length. Their secondary structure includes four short double-helical elements and three loops (D, anti-codon, and T loops). Lineage: Eukaryota; Metazoa; Cnidaria; Anthozoa; Scleractinia; Acroporidae. The record is from RNAcentral.